GAAAGAUGGCUUUGGCUAUCACUCUGGGAUGGACCUGCGGUGCAUUAGCUAGUUGGUAAGGUAACGGCUUACCAAGGCGAUGAUGCAUAGCCGAGUUGAGAGACUGAUCGGCCACAAUGGAACUGAGACACGGUCCAUACUCCUACGGGAGGCAGCAGUAGGGAAUCUUCCACAAUGGGCGCAAGCCUGAUGGAGCAACACCGCGUGAGUGAAGAAGGGUUUCGGCUCGUAAAGCUCUGUUGUUGGAGAAGAACGUGCGUGAGAGUAACUGUUCACGCAGUGACGGUAUCCAACCAGAAAGUCACGGCUAACUACGUGCCAGCAGCCGCGGUAAUACGUAGGUGGCAAGCGUUAUCCGGAUUUAUUGGGCGUAAAGCGAGCGCAGGCGGUUGCUUAGGUCUGAUGUGAAAGCCUUCGGCUUAACCGAAGAAGUGCAUCGGAAACCGGGCGACUUGAGUGCAGAAGAGGACAGUGGAACUCCAUGUGUAGCGGUGGAAUGCGUAGAUAUAUGGAAGAACACCAGUGGCGAAGGCGGCUGUCUGGUCUGCAACUGACGCUGAGGCUCGAAAGCAUGGGUAGCGAACAGGAUUAGAUACCCUGGUAGUCCAUCCCGUAAACGAUGAGUGCUAGGUGUUGGAGGGUUUCCGCCCUUCA
This 654-nucleotide ribosomal RNA is filed under the name uncultured bacterium. RNAcentral's name for it is "bacterial SSU rRNA". It matches the Rfam family "Bacterial small subunit ribosomal RNA", at positions 202 to 842 of the family's 1533-position model. The record is from RNAcentral.